This is a non-coding RNA of Camellia sinensis, 986 nucleotides long. The record is from RefSeq and is a predicted model, not a curated record. Lineage: Eukaryota; Viridiplantae; Streptophyta; Magnoliopsida; Ericales; Theaceae.
UUCGCUUGCUUUCCCUCUCCCUCUCUCUCACCGUUGCCGUUCUCUGUUUCUCUCUUUGCUCUAUGUCUAUUUCUCUUUCUCUUUAACAUUCACAUAAACACAAACCCUAGGCCACCAUUCAAAAUCACUAUAGUACAAGAAUUCAACAAUACUCAACCUUUGCCCUCGGUCUCUCUCCCUUUCUCUCUCUCUCUCUAUAUAUAUAUAUAAUGCGGCGAAUUUUAGUACGGAGAGAGGGAUUUGAGCUCUGAUGAAUUGAUUCCUUUUCUGCUUUGAUUCUUCUUCUUCUUCUUCAACAUAGCUUCGACUUGCAGCUCUAACAGGUUAGUUCCGACUUUUCUUCUUCUUCUUCUUCACUAUUUUUCGAUCCUUCUAUCUGUGUAACAGAGGAGACCAAACAAAGAGGAAGAUGUCAGACCUAGACAGUCAAAUUGAGCAGCUGAAGAAGUGCGAGCCUUUGAAAGAGUCCGAAGUCAAGUCCCUUUGCCUGAAAGCCAUGGAAAUCCUCAUCGAAGAGAGCAAUGUUCAAAGGGUCGACACACCUGUCACUAAGCAACACCUAAGACAAUGGGGGUAAAAGGUCUUGCCCUUUAUCACUUGAAAUCGCAUCUUCAGGCAUAGUAUUUGGUGUCUCAUUUUUGCAGAAAUGUCGUUUGGGAAAGCAAUCUUGCAAGGAGUUACCUGACAGCUCUAAAGAUGCGUCUUGCAUUGCUAAGAGUCAAGACACUUGUUCAUGUACAGCAUCAUCGUCAAAACUAGCUCAAGAUUUAAAUGAGAGGUAAUGAUGCUUCUCACUCAGCUGAAGCUAUAGCCCGUAGAGGAUCAAGUAGUUUUGCUCGCCCUGACGUUGUAUUGUGUUGUGUUGUUAAUGAAUGUUAAUGAAUGUUAAUGCUUCAAUUUAGAGUUGUAUUGUGUCGAAUGUUAAUGAAUUAUGUAUUGUGUCGAAUGUUAAUGAUUCAGUUAAUUUGAAUGAUGCUUUAAAAUUA